RNAcentral lists this ribosomal RNA (439 nucleotides) under uncultured bacterium. Its description in RNAcentral is "partial 16S ribosomal RNA". It matches the Rfam family "Bacterial small subunit ribosomal RNA", at positions 339 to 795 of the family's 1533-position model. The record is from RNAcentral.
CUACGGGUGGCUGCAGUGGGGAAUAUUGCACAAUGGAGGAAACUCUGAUGCAGCAACGCCGCGUGGAGGAUGACACUUUUCGGAGCGUAAACUCCUUUUAUAUAGGAAGAAGAUGACGGUACUAUAUGAAUAAGCGCCGGCUAACUCCGUGCCAGCAGCCGCGGUAAUACGGAUGGCGCAAGCGUUACUCGGAAUCACUGGGCGUAAAGAGCGUGUAGGCGGAUUAAAAAGUCAGAAGUGAAAUCCUAUAGCUUAACUAUAGAACUGCUUCUGAAACUCUUAAUCUAGAAUAUGGGAGAGGUGGAUGGAAUUUCUGGUGUAGGGGUAAAAUCCGUAGAGAUCAGAAGGAAUACCGAUUGCGAAGGCGAUCUACUAGAACAUUAUUGACGCUGAGACGCGAAAGCGUGGGGAGCAAACAGGAUUAGAUACCCUCGUAGUC